CGAACGCUGGCGGCGUGCCUAACACAUGCAAGUCGAGCGGACCAAGGGAUUCGUCUCUUGGUUAGCGGCAGACGGGUGAGUAACACGUGGGUAACCUGUCCUCGAGUGGGGGAUAACUACUCGAAAGGGUGGCUAAUACCGCAUAAGACCACGAUUCUUCGGGAUUGAGGUCAAAGGCGCAAGCCGCUUGAGGAGGGGCCCGCGGCCGAUUAGCUAGUUGGUGAGGUAAUGGCUCACCAAGGCAGUGAUCGGUAGCUGGUCUGAGAGGAUGAUCAGCCACACUGGUACUGAGACACGGACCAGACUCCUACGGGAGGCAGCAGUGGGGAAUAUUGCGCAAUGGGCGAAAGCCUGACGCAGCAACGCCGCGUGGGUGAUGAAGGCCUUCGGGUCGUAAAGCCCUGUCAGAUGGGACGAACAAGAUGACGGUACCAUCGAAGGAAGCACCGGCUAACUCCGUGCCAGCAG
RNAcentral lists this ribosomal RNA (468 nucleotides) under uncultured bacterium. RNAcentral describes it as "bacterial SSU rRNA". It matches the Rfam family "Bacterial small subunit ribosomal RNA", at positions 30 to 514 of the family's 1533-position model. The record is from RNAcentral.